CAAAAAGGGCUUGACAUCGCCCGGAAAGCCGUAGAGAUACGGCCCCCCUUGUGGUCGGGUGACAGGUGGUGCAUGGCUGUCGUCAGCUCGUGUCGUGAGAUGUUGGGUUAAGUCCCGCAACGAGCGCAACCCUUGUUCUGUGUUGCCAGCAUGCCCUUCGGGGUGAUGGGGACUCACAGGAGACUGCCGGGGUCAACUCGGAGGAAGGUGGGGACGACGUCAAGUCAUCAUGCCCCUUAUGUCUUGGGCUGCACACGUGCUACAAUGGCCGGUACAAUGAGCUGCGAUGCCGCGAGGCGGAGCGAAUCUCAAAAAGCCGGUCUCAGUUCGGAUUGGGGUCUGCAACUCGACCCCAUGAAGUCGGAGUUGCUAGUAAUCGCAGAUCAGCAUUGCUGCGGUGAAUA
Molecule: ribosomal RNA, 404 nt
Filed under: uncultured Streptomyces sp.
Lineage: Bacteria; Bacillati; Actinomycetota; Actinomycetes; Kitasatosporales; Streptomycetaceae
Description: bacterial SSU rRNA
Rfam family: Bacterial small subunit ribosomal RNA
Source: RNAcentral